GCGCCCGUAGCUCAACGGAUAGAGCAUCAGUCUUCGGAACUGAGGGUUCAGGGUUCAAGUCCCUGCGGGCGUACCA
Molecule: transfer RNA, 76 nt
Filed under: Chloroflexota bacterium
Lineage: Bacteria; Bacillati; Chloroflexota
Description: Chloroflexi bacterium (freshwater metagenome) tRNA-Arg
Rfam family: tRNA
About the family: Transfer RNA (tRNA) molecules are approximately 80 nucleotides in length.
Source: RNAcentral